AGAGUUUGAUCAUGGCUCAGAGUGAACGCUGGCGGCGUGCUUAACACAUGCAAGUCGAACGAGAACGGAAUAUAGCUUGCUAUAUUUGUCAGCUAAGUGGCGCACGGGUGAGUAAUGUAUAGAUAACCUGCCCUUAAGAAAGGAAUAACAGUUGGAAACGACUGCUAAUGCCCUAUAUGCCUUUAAUACAUAAGUAUGCAAGGGAAACGCUUUAGUGCUUAAGGAUGGGUCUGUAUGGUAUCGGCUUGUUGGUGAGGUAAUGGCUCACCAAGGCUAUGACGCCUAACUGGUUUGAGAGGAUGAUCAGUCACACUGGAACUGAGACACGGUCCAGACUCCUACGGGAGGCAGCAGUGGGGAAUAUUGCACAAUGGACGAAAGUCUGAUGCAGCAACGCCGCGUGGAGGAUGACACAUUUCGGUGCGUAAACUCCUUUUAUAUAGGAAGAUAAUGACGGUACUAUAUGAAUAAGCACCGGCUAACUCCGUGCCAGCAGCCGCGGUAAUACGGAGGGUGCGGGCGUUACUCGGAAUCACUGGGCGUAAAGAGCGUGUAGGCGGGUAUAUAAGUCAGAAGUGAAAUCCAAUAGCUUAACUAUUGAACUGCUUUUGAAACUGUGUAUCUAGAAUGUGGGAGAGGUAGAUGGAAUUUCUGGUGUAGGGGUAAAAUCCGUAGAGAUCAGAAGGAAUACCGAUUGCGAAGGCGAUCUACUGGAACAUUAUUGACGCUGAGACGCGAAAGCGUGGGGAGCAAACAGGAUUAGAUACCCUGGUAGUCCACGCCCUAAACGAUGCACACUA
This 800-nucleotide ribosomal RNA is filed under the name uncultured bacterium. Its description in RNAcentral is "bacterial SSU rRNA". It matches the Rfam family "Bacterial small subunit ribosomal RNA", at positions 8 to 818 of the family's 1533-position model. The record is from RNAcentral.